GAUUUAAUUGAGUUCCUGUUUCAAUUUUUAUCUUUUGGUCCCAAAUCCAAACUGUCUCCUGGUAUACUUAGACUGCAUAAAACCUCUACUAUUUUAGCGCUAUUUACCCACUGCUGAAUAUGCCAUGUUUAGAGCACUUUUCCUCUAUUUCUGGUAGCAGUUUACAUCACCUUACUUUAUUCUGACUAGUGGUAAUUUUUGACAGUCAGAGGACUUUUUAAAACUUUAUUAGAAAGUCUGAGGGCAUAUUUUCAAACCUUGGCAGUAAGAUUAGAUGAUGGAUCACAAUCUGCUAUUGCCAGUCAGAGCACAGAGCAUCACCUUGUAAUAGUGCCAAGUUGUGACAGCGGCAGGCAGUGUUCCUUGUUUGUAGAAAGUGAUCUCUUGCUGCAUUUUUUUUAAUUUGGGAACAACAUUUUUACAUUUGUAUGGAAUCAAUGGCUGCAAAAUAUUUUUCAACAGCAGAAGUGAAGGCAGUGAGAAGGAAAGAGGCUACUGCUUUGUGCUUACACAUGCAAAGCAGCCCAUGGCUGACAUUUACCCAGAUUUAGACUAGAUCAAGAAGACCAUGACCCAGAAGAAGAACUCAGAACUUGGCUCUAGCCAUGCCUCCCCUGGUUCCAGCAACUUAUUUCCAACAUGACGCAGUCUGAAGACUGGAGUUUGUGGCCCUGUUUGGAGUAACACCAGAGCUGGAGCUGGGAGGAAAGAAGGCAUCACUUGACUGGAGAAGAGCAGUGCAGCAGAGGGAGGAGAGAAGGAGAGAAAAAGAAAUUACUUGUUUUGUAUGCUUGUUAUUACAAUAUAUUUGCAAUAAACACCCUUUAUUUGAACCUGAGACUGUGUUGGUGUGUUCAUAUUUGGGGCUCACUGGUGCCUCCUGGCCUGCACAACAUGCAAUAUUGAUGCUGCAG
Erpetoichthys calabaricus (reedfish) is the source of this 914-nucleotide long non-coding RNA. RefSeq lists it as uncharacterized. The record is from RefSeq and is a predicted model, not a curated record. NCBI's taxonomy places the organism in Eukaryota, Metazoa, Chordata, Cladistia, Polypteriformes, Polypteridae. The transcript has 3 exons.